CUACGGAGAUACGAUGGCCGAUUUACUUUAUCUUAGUGUUUAGGAGAGUGCUUUAGGAUAGUACUUUAGUUGAAACAUGUAAACGCUACUUGCUUUAGUACGGUUCUACUUGACUUUCAAGUUGAAUCAAAAUAGAAUCGCUUUUUAUUUUUGUUUCAAGUGAUACCCCUCCCGCGCCCGCGCACCCCCCGAGAUCUUCCCUCGUUCUCGUUGUGUGUAAACUGUAAACACGUAAAUUAGUAAAAUCUUUAGGAGAGUGCAUAAGUGCCGUGAACGGUGAAACGCGUUUUUGAUUUUAAAGAUGGCUAAAUGGUCGGAAGAUACAACUAUCAAAUUUGUGUCUGAAUAUGUGGUUCACGAAUGUUUGUGGAACAUUAAAAACCUAGCAUAUAAAAACAAACAGGCUAGGCAUUCGGCAUACACUGCCUUAAAAGAAGCUAUGGGUAUUCCUGGCUUCGACGUUAACGCGGUUAUCACAAAAAUUAAAAACAUAAGAUCAACUUAUUCACAAGAGGUAAAGAAAAUUAACGACUCAAUGAAAUCUGGAGCUGGAGCAGAUUCCAUAUACAAGCCGAAUGUAAAAUGGUUCGACAUACUACACGAUGUGUUACAAAGCGUAAACCUAGAAAAUAGAAAGACGCAGAGUAAUAUGAAUACCAUUGAGGAUAAAGAAAACAUGGAGGAGAAUCAAGAUGCUCGAAAUUAUGCGCUUGUUUGUAUUGACGAUAGGCCAGUUUCUGAUCUAACCCGCCCUUCAAGAAAAAGAAAUAUGAGAGGUCUGAAUUCACUUCUAGACAAAGCAAAAGUAGUGGUAAGCGAGCUCAACAAUGCGAGAUCAAUGAUCGAAAAAGAAGGCACAAACGAAUUCGAAUUGUUUGGCAAAAGUGUUGGCGUCCAUCUAAACUCCAUGAGUUUAGAAAAUGCUUUGCGGGCGCAAAGCGUGAUACAGACCUAUCUUACUAAUGUGCGAUUGCAGGAAUUAAAAACCUGCAAUCGCACUUCUGUUGUUCCUACACCAUCUCCGAGUUAUGUGCGUACACCAUCUCCGAGUUAUCUGUCUACACCAUCUCCGAGCUAUGUGCCUACACAAACCACUUCUGAGCAUACGUCUACUCAAGAAGCUCCUACAGAUAGUGGACAAUCAUCUAUGUCUGACAUACCUCACUCUGAGCUUAUUGUGACAAAUACUCCUAAUAUUUCAUCUGAUAAAGCACAUUUCAGCCACGACGCUGCAAUAAAUCUUGAUAGGGGUGAUUUGCUUGAUCUUAGUGACCAACAAACUGCAGCUCAACAAAAUAAUGAUACCUUAUCACAGGCUAUGACAAAUAUUCCUAUGUACACAUUGAACAAAAUACAUUGAUUAGUAAUUUUUUUCGAUGUCUACAUAGGAUUAAAUAGAUAUAAAUAAAUAUUUCAUUGUUUCAAAGUAUUAUGUGAUUUAUUAUUAAAGUUUUAUAAAGUUAUGUGACAAAAUUACCCAGUUUCAAGUACAUUGAUUUGUAAUUUUGUUUGAUGUCUACAUAGGAUUAAAUAGAUAUAAAUAAAUAUUUCAUUGUUUCAAAGUAUUAUGUGUGUUAUGUGAUUUAUUAUUAAAGUUUUAUAAAGUUAUGUGACGAAAUUACCCAGUUUCAAGUAUUAAAGUUAUGUGAUUUAAUAUAACUA
Molecule: RNA transcript, 1662 nt
Organism: Pieris napi
Lineage: Eukaryota; Metazoa; Arthropoda; Insecta; Lepidoptera; Pieridae
Exons: 4
Source: RefSeq, a predicted model, not a curated record